Non-coding RNA from Pelobates cultripes (western spadefoot toad), 289 nucleotides. Lineage: Eukaryota; Metazoa; Chordata; Amphibia; Anura; Pelobatidae. The record is from the annotation of a GenBank genome assembly.
GCAGGUGUUCAAAAGGCCCUGUCUAUGACAUCACUUGCUGCUGCAGCUUGACACAGGUCAGAGUAUUUUGGCGGUUGCCAUCUUCAAACGAUCGUAUCUUAAAAACUAUAACUCCUACAGUGAAGAGCUUUAUAUUGUGAGAAUCACAAGACCCAGACCUACAUUUUGAUGCAUAGUAUGUCUCUGAAGUAGUAAAAUUGAAGGCACAGUCGCAGUUUAGAAAUUGCACUUCAAAUUUGAGCUUUGCAGAGUGAAGUUUCAAUGAAUGUCAAUGGACGGCGUUGGUUGC